GCGACAGGCCUAACACAUGCAAGUCGAGGGGCAGCGACAAGGAGCAAUCUGAGGUGGGCGACCGGCGCACGGGUGAGUAACACGUAUGCAACCUGCCUGUAAGCGGGGAAUAACCCGUUGAAAGACGGACUAAUACCGCAUAAUACUAAAUUACUGCAUGGUAAUUUAUUUAAACAUUUAUGGCUUACAGAUGGGCAUGCGCAUGAUUAGCUAGUUGGAGAGGUAACGGCUCCCCAAGGCAACGAUCAUUAGGGGUUCUGAGAGGAAGGUCCCCCACACUGGUACUGAGACACGGACCAGACUCCUACGGGAGGCAGCAGUGAGGAAUAUUGGUCAAUGGACGAGAGUCUGAACCAGCCAAGUCGCGUGCAGGAAGAAUGUCCCUAUGGAUUGUAAACUGCUUUUGCAGGGGAAUAAAGUGCAUCACGUGUGAUGUUUUGUAUGUACUCUGCGAAUAAGGAUCGGCUAACUCCGUGCCAGCCGCCGC
Molecule: ribosomal RNA, 487 nt
Filed under: uncultured bacterium
Lineage: Bacteria
Description: bacterial SSU rRNA
Rfam family: Bacterial small subunit ribosomal RNA
Source: RNAcentral